CCUACGGGUGGCAGCAGUGAGGAAUAUUGGUCAAUGGGCGAGAGCCUGAACCAGCCAAGCCGCGUGAGGGAAGAAGGUACAGCGUAUCGUAAACCUCUUUUGUCAGGGAACAAAGGCGGGGACUAGUCCCCGGAUGAGGGUACCGGAAGAAAAAGCAUCGGCUAACUCCGUGCCAGCAGCCGCGGUAAUACGGAGGAUGCGAGCGUUAUCCGGAUUUAUUGGGUUUAAAGGGUGCGCAGGCUGCCUGUUAAGUCAGCGGUAAAAGCCCGGGGCUAAACCCCGGCUGGCCGUUGAAACUGGCGGGCUGGAGUUAGAGAGAGGUACGCGGAAUGCGCGGUGAAGCGGUGAAAUGCUUAGAU
Molecule: ribosomal RNA, 359 nt
Filed under: uncultured bacterium
Lineage: Bacteria
Description: partial 16S ribosomal RNA
Rfam family: Bacterial small subunit ribosomal RNA
Source: RNAcentral